RNAcentral lists this unclassified non-coding RNA (353 nucleotides) under soil metagenome. RNAcentral's name for it is "partial contains 5.8S ribosomal RNA, internal transcribed spacer 2, and large subunit ribosomal RNA". The stretch from base 1 to 120 matches the Rfam family "5.8S ribosomal RNA", at positions 35 to 154 of the family's 154-position model. The record is from RNAcentral.
GAUGAAGAACGUAGCGAAAUGCGAUAAGUAAUGUGAAUUGCAGAAUUCAGUGAAUCAUCGAAUCUUUGAACGCACAUUGCGCCCGCCAGUAUUCUGGCGGGCAUGCCUGUUCGAGCGUCAUUACAACCCUCAGGCCCCCGGGCCUGGCGUUGGGGAUCGGCGGAAGCCCCCUGCGGGCACAACGCCGUCCCCCACAUACAGUGGCGGUCCCGCCGCAGCUUCCAUUGCGUAGUAGCUAACACCUCGCAACUGGAGAGCGGCGCGGCCACGCCGUAAAACACCCAACUUCUGAAUGUUGACCUCGAAUCAGGUAGGAAUACCAGCUGAACUUAAGCAUAUCAAUAAGCGGAGGA